CUACGGGUGGCUGCAGUCGAGGAAAUUUUACAAUGCUCGAAAGAGUGAUAAAAUGAGUCAGAGUGUUUCUCUUAGAGAAACUUUUUUCUGCUGUAAAAAGGCAGAAGAAUAAGGACUGGGUAAGACCGGUGCCAGCCGCCGCGGUAAUACCGGCGGUCCGAGUCGCAUCCACAUUUAUUGGGUCUAAAACAUCCGUAGCUUGUUUUAUAAGUCUCUUGUGAAAUCUGAUAUCUCAAAUAUCAGGCGUGCAAGAGAUACUAUAUUACUAGAGACCGGAAGACGCAGGGAGUAUGAUUAAGGUAGCGGUAAAAUGCGUUAAUCUUAAUUAGACUAACAAUAGCGAAGGCACCUUGCGAGUACGGAUCUGACAGUAAGGGAUGAAGGCUAGGGGCGCGAAAGGGAUUAGAUACCCGAGUAGUC
RNAcentral lists this ribosomal RNA (420 nucleotides) under uncultured archaeon. RNAcentral describes it as "partial 16S ribosomal RNA". It matches the Rfam family "Archaeal small subunit ribosomal RNA", at positions 323 to 746 of the family's 1478-position model. The record is from RNAcentral.